CUGCUUCAGCUGUAAAUAGGCCCAAACUGGACCAAUACAGAGAAGAUUAGUAUGGCCCCUGUGCAAAGAUGACAUGCACAUUUGUGAAGCAUUUCAUAUUUUU
Small nuclear RNA from Erinaceus europaeus (western European hedgehog), 103 nucleotides. The record is from Ensembl. NCBI's taxonomy places the organism in Eukaryota, Metazoa, Chordata, Mammalia, Eulipotyphla, Erinaceidae.